CAGUAAGAGGAAUGAUGUAUUAUUAUCGAGCUCUUAAGAUGCUGGCUUUUCUUGAUUCUGCUUCAGAGGUGGACAUCAGGG
Molecule: non-coding RNA, 81 nt
Organism: Jatropha curcas
Lineage: Eukaryota; Viridiplantae; Streptophyta; Magnoliopsida; Malpighiales; Euphorbiaceae
Source: Rfam